UUCAAGAGAUAUAAGUUUCUCUUUGUUCUUCUCUAUAUACCCGAAACUACACCCAAAAAUACAAAGCUUCCACCUUUUAUUUUCGGCAGUAGCAAAAAUGGUGUUCUAGGGUUUUCUAGGUUUUAUUUUCUUACUCUCCUUUUGUUCUACCCGAAAAUACAAACCAAGAAAACCUAAGCUUCUAACCGAAAUACUAACCCAGAAAAACUCUUUAACUUUCGGCCAAAAAACACAUCAAACCCGAAAAUAGCAAGAACACUCAACAUACACACAAAUACAAAUAUGAACAAUAUAGAGAUUAGGGUUAGAAAUACAAACAGAAAUGAUAAAGAUGGAGACACCAAAUUUGAUCUCGGAGUUCGCCCAAAACAACCGGCUACUUCUCCGUCAAGCCCUCAGCUUGAUUCCACUAAUCAUCAAACAAAGGAGGAGCUCACAUGGAGAUGACAACUCUUAGCCAAAAGGCUCUCAUUUUCUCUGUUGUUGAAUCUAUUGUUCUCUCUGGCUGUGACUAUUUACUUUUUGUUGUAUCUCUUAUUUUUGCUCUGUAUAUUAUUGCUUGUUGUAUCUGAGAAAAGCACCUCCUUUUAUAUACUGUUCUGUGAUCUAAUCUAGGGCAGAGCCCUAAAGAUAUUUGUAACUGUUUUGUAACUGUCUUUGUAACUGUCUUUGUAACUGUCUUUGAUGAAAGGGUAUAUUUGUCAAACCCUAUGAUUAGUGUUAUACAACUUAAGGGUAAAUAAGUGAAUCUGAAACAACA
Molecule: long non-coding RNA, 760 nt
Organism: Cannabis sativa
Lineage: Eukaryota; Viridiplantae; Streptophyta; Magnoliopsida; Rosales; Cannabaceae
Exons: 2
Source: RefSeq, a predicted model, not a curated record